AUUGAACGCUGGCGGAAUGCUUUACACAUGCAAGUCGAACGGCAGCACGGACUUCGGUCUGGUGGCGAGUGGCGAACGGGUGAGUAAUGUAUCGGAACGUGCCCAGUCGUGGGGGAUAACGUAGUGAAAAUUACGCUAAUACCGCAUACGAUCUAUGGAUGAAAGCGGGGGAUCGCAAGACCUCGCGCGAUUGGAGCGGCCGAUAUCAGAUUAGGUAGUUGGUGGGGUAAAGGCCCACCAAGCCAACGAUCUGUAGCUGGUCUGAGAGGACGACCAGCCACACUGGACCUGAGACACGGUCAGGCCUCCUACGGGAGGCAGCAGUGGGGAAUUUUGGACAAUGGGCGAAAGCCUGAUCCAGCCAUUCCGCGUGCAGGAUGAAGGCCUUCGGGUUGUAGACUGCUUUUGUACAGAACGAAAAGGUUUCUACUAAUACUAGGAGCUCAUGACGGUACUGUAAGAAUAAGCACCGGCUAACUACGUGCCAGCCGCCGCCGUAA
Molecule: ribosomal RNA, 500 nt
Filed under: uncultured bacterium
Lineage: Bacteria
Description: partial 16S ribosomal RNA
Rfam family: Bacterial small subunit ribosomal RNA
Source: RNAcentral